Non-coding RNA from Marasmius tenuissimus, 95 nucleotides. The record is from the annotation of a GenBank genome assembly. Lineage: Eukaryota; Fungi; Basidiomycota; Agaricomycetes; Agaricales; Marasmiaceae.
GGCGAGAUGGCCGAGCGGUCUAAGGCGCUAGAAUCAGGAUCUUGAAAUCCAGUAUCUAGUCCUCCGGGGCGUGGGUUCGAAUCCCACUCUCGUCA